UACUUUACACACGUGUCUAUGACUGAAUUCGGCAGCUUGCUGCAAAAACAACCACUAAUAUUUUAACUUUACAAUCAACAACUACUAAUAGAUCAAAACUUUCAACAACGGAUCUCUUGGUUCUCGCAACGAUGAAGAACGCAGCGAAUUGCGAUAAGUAUUGUGAAUUGCAGAUUUUCGUGAAUCAUCGAAUCUUUGAACGCACAUUGCGCCCUGUGGUAUUCCGCAGGGCAUGCCUGUUUGAGCGUCAUUUCUCCUUCCAACCGCAGUUGGGUGUUGGGCCGGGACACGUCUAGUCCCGCCCGAAACGCAUGGUGGGCGCCGCGCCGCCGUCCCGCGACAAUGAGUUAGGUUCUGCCAGUUCGUUGGAGCGCGGAGGGGAAGGUGCGGGGGCCGACAGCAACACCAUUGAACUUCUUAAAUUGACCUCAAAUCAGGUAGGACUACCC
RNAcentral lists this ribosomal RNA (449 nucleotides) under [Candida] sanyiensis. RNAcentral describes it as "eukaryotic LSU rRNA". The stretch from base 97 to 250 matches the Rfam family "5.8S ribosomal RNA". The record is from RNAcentral. Lineage: Eukaryota; Fungi; Ascomycota; Saccharomycetes; Phaffomycetales; Phaffomycetaceae.